This 496-nucleotide ribosomal RNA is filed under the name uncultured bacterium. RNAcentral's name for it is "partial 16S ribosomal RNA". It matches the Rfam family "Bacterial small subunit ribosomal RNA", at positions 29 to 507 of the family's 1533-position model. The record is from RNAcentral.
AUGAACGCUGGCGGCGUGCCUAAUACAUGCAAGUCGAGCGAACGGACGAGAAGCUUGCUUCUCUGAUGUUAGCGGCGGACGGGUGAGUAACACGUGGAUAACCCACCUAUAAGACUGGGAUAACUUCGGGAAACCGGAGCUAAUACCGGAUAAUAUUUUGAACCGCAUGGUUCAAAAGUGAAAGACGGUCUUGCUGUCACUUAUAGAUGGAUCCGCGCUGCAUUAGCUAGUUGGUAAGGUAACGGCUUACCAAGGCAACGAUGCAUAGCCGACCUGAGAGGGUGAUCGGCCACACUGGAACUGAGACACGGUCCAGACUCCUACGGGAGGCAGCAGUAGGGAAUCUUCCGCAAUGGGCGAAAGCCUGACGGAGCAACGCCGCGUGAGUGAUGAAGGUCUUCGGAUCGUAAAACUCUGUUAUUAGGGAAGAACAUAUGUGUAAGUAACUGUGCACAUCUUGACGGUACCUAAUCAGAAAGCCACGGCUAACUACGUG